This 450-nucleotide ribosomal RNA is filed under the name Corynebacterium sp. G(2012). RNAcentral describes it as "bacterial SSU rRNA". It matches the Rfam family "Bacterial small subunit ribosomal RNA", at positions 91 to 557 of the family's 1533-position model. Lineage: Bacteria; Bacillati; Actinomycetota; Actinomycetes; Mycobacteriales; Corynebacteriaceae. The record is from RNAcentral.
UCGAGUGGCGAACGGGUGAGUAACACGUGGGUGAUCUGCCCUGCACUUCGGGAUAAGCCUGGGAAACUGGGUCUAAUACCGGAUAGGACCACUUCUUGGAUGUUGUGGUGGAAAGUUUUUUCGGUGUGGGAUGAGCUCGCGGCCUAUCAGCUUGUUGGUGGGGUAAUGGCCUACCAAGGCGUCGACGGGUAGCCGGCCUGAGAGGGUGUACGGCCACAUUGGGACUGAGAUACGGCCCAGACUCCUACGGGAGGCAGCAGUGGGGAAUAUUGCACAAUGGGCGCAAGCCUGAUGCAGCGACGCCGCGUGGGGGAUGACGGCCUUCGGGUUGUAAACUCCUUUCGCUAGGGACGAAGCGUAUUUGACGGUACCUGGAGAAGAAGCACCGGCUAACUACGUGCCAGCAGCCGCGGUAAUACGUAGGGGGCGAGCGUUGUCCGGAAUUACUGG